GAGUACUGGAGGGGAGACUGGAAUUCCUGGUGUAGCGGAGAAAUGCGCAGAUAUCAGGAGGAACACCGGUGGCGAAGGCGGGUCUCUGGGCAGUAACUGACGCUGAGGAGCGAAAGCGUGGGAAGCGAACAGGAUUAGAUACCCUGGUAGUCCACGCCGUAAACGGUGGGCGCUACGUGUGGGUUUCCUUCCACGGGAUCCGUGCCGUAGCUAACGCAUUAAGGGCCCCGCCUGGGGAGUACGGCCGCAAGGCUAAAUCUCAAAGGAAUUG
RNAcentral lists this ribosomal RNA (271 nucleotides) under uncultured actinomycete. Its description in RNAcentral is "partial 16S ribosomal RNA". It matches the Rfam family "Bacterial small subunit ribosomal RNA", at positions 644 to 912 of the family's 1533-position model. Lineage: Bacteria; Bacillati; Actinomycetota; Actinomycetes; Actinomycetales. The record is from RNAcentral.